AGUGAACGCUGGCGGUAGGCCUAACACAUGCAAGUCGAACGGCAGCACAGUAAGAGCUUGCCCUUACGGGUGGCGAGUGGCGGACGGGUGAGGAAUACAUCGGAAUCUACUUUUUCGUGGGGGAUAACGUAGGGAAACUUACGCUAAUACCGCAUACGACCUACGGGUGAAAGCAGGGGAUCUUCGGACCUUGCGCGAUUGAAUGAGCCGAUGUCGGAUUAGCUAGUUGGCGGGGUAAAGGCCCACCAAGGCGACGAUCCGUAGCUGGUCUGAGAGGAUGAUCAGCCACACUGGAACUGAGACACGGUCCAGGCUCCUACGGGAGGCAGCAGUGGGGAAUAUUGGACAAUGGGCGCAAGCCUGAUCCAGCCAUACCGCGUGGGUGAAGAAGGCCUUCGGGUUGUAAAGCCCUUUUGUUGGGAAAGAAAAGCAGCAGGUUAAUACCCCGCUGUUCUGACGGUACCCAAAGAAUAAGCACCGGCUAACUUCGUG
RNAcentral lists this ribosomal RNA (492 nucleotides) under uncultured bacterium. Its description in RNAcentral is "partial 16S ribosomal RNA". It matches the Rfam family "Bacterial small subunit ribosomal RNA", at positions 29 to 507 of the family's 1533-position model. The record is from RNAcentral.